GCGGAGGGAUCAUUACAGAAGCAUUCUUUUGCUCUUAAACACCUGUGAACAUACUUUUGUUGCUUCGGCGGGCCUGCCCCUCGGGGGGCGGUCAAGGUCCGCCGGAGGUUUUUCAAAACUCUUGUUUUACUAGUCUUCAGAAUACCAAAAAAAAUAAAUCAAAACUUUCAACAACGGAUCUCUUGGCUCUAGCAUCGAUGAAGAACGCAGCGAAACGCGAUAGGUAAUGCGAAUUGCAGAAUUCCGUGAGUCAUCGAAUCUUUGAACGCACAUUGCGCCCGCCGGUAUUCUGGCGGGCAUGCCUGUUCGAGCGUCAUUUCAACCCUCGGGCCUGUCCCGGUGUUGGGGCUCUGUAGCAUACGACAGACCCCGAAAGACAGUGGCGGAGCCGCCUAGCUCUCAGCGUAGUAAUUUUUCUCGUUGUGGGGCGACAGCGGUUGCUUGCCGUUAAACAACCACUAUUCUAAUUGUUUGACCUCGGAUCAG
This 486-nucleotide ribosomal RNA is filed under the name fungal endophyte. Its description in RNAcentral is "eukaryotic LSU rRNA". The stretch from base 163 to 316 matches the Rfam family "5.8S ribosomal RNA". Lineage: Eukaryota; Fungi. The record is from RNAcentral.